CGGGACACGUGGUAUCCUGUCUGAAUAUGGGGGGACCAUCCUCCAAGGCUAAAUACUCCUGACUGACCGAUAGUGAACCAGUACCGUGAGGGAAAGGCGAAAAGAACCCCGGCGAGGGGAGUGAAAAAGAACCUGAAACCGUGUACGUACAAGCAGUGGGAGCACGCUUAGGCGUGUGACUGCGUACCUUUUGUAUAAUGGGUCAGCGACUUAUAUUCUGUAGCAAGGUUAACCGAAUAGGGGAGCCGAAGGGAAACCGAGUCUUAACUGGGCGUUAAGUUGCAGGGUAUAGACCCGAAACCCGGUGAUCUAGCCAUGGGCAGGUUGAAGGUUGGGUAACACUAACUGGAGGACCGAACCGACUAAUGUUGAAAAAUUAGCGGAUGACUUGUGGCUGGGGGUGAAAGGCCAAUCAAACCGGGAGAUAGCUGGUUCUCCCCGAAAGCUAUUUAGGUAGCGCCUCGUGAAUUCAUCUCCGGGGGUAGAGCACUGUUUCGGCAAGGGGGUCAUCCCGACUUACCAACCCGAUGCAAACUGCGAAUACCGGAGAAUGUUAUCACGGGAGACACACGGCGGGUGCUAACGUCCGUCGUGAAGAGGGAAACAACCCAGACCGCCAGCUAAGGUCCCAAAGUCAUGGUUAAGUGGGAAACGAUGUGGGAAGGCCCAGACAGCCAGGAUGUUGGCUUAGAAGCAGCCAUCAUUUAAAGAAAGCGUAAUAGCUCACUGGUCGAGUCGGCCUGCGCGGAAGAUGUAACGGGGCUAAACCAUGCACCGAAGCUGCGGCAGCGACGCUUAUGCGUUGUUGGGUAGGGGAGCGUUCUGUAAGCCUGCGAAGGUGUGCUGUGAGGCAUGCUGGAGGUAUCAGAAGUGCGAAUGCUGACAUAAGUAACGAUAAAGCGGGUGAAAAGCCCGCUCGCCGGAAGACCAAGGGUUCCUGUCCAACGUUAAUCGGGGCAGGGUGAGUCGACCCCUAAGGCGAGGCCGAAAGGCGUAGUCGAUGGGAAACAGGUUAAUAUUCCUGUACUUGGUGUUACUGCGAAGGGGGGACGGAGAAGGCUAUGUUGGCCGGGCGACGGUUGUCCCGGUUUAAGCGUGUAGGCUGGUUUUCCAGGCAAAUCCGGAAAAUCAAGGCUGAGGCGUGAUGACGAGGCACUACGGUGCUGAAGCAACAAAUGCCCUGCUUCCAGGAAAAGCCUCUAAGCAUCAGGUAACAUCAAAUCGUACCCCAAACCGACACAGGUGGUCAGGUAGAGAAUACCAAGGCGCUUGAGAGAACUCGGGUGAAGGAACUAGGCAAAAUGGUGCCGUAACUUCGGGAGAAGGCACGCUGAUAUGUAGGUGAAGUGAUUUACUCAUGGAGCUGAAAUCAGUCGAAGAUACCAGCUGGCUGCAACUGUUUAUUAAAAACACAGCACUGUGCAAACACGAAAGUGGACGUAUACGGUGUGACGCCUGCCCGGUGC
This 1466-nucleotide ribosomal RNA is filed under the name Escherichia coli. Its description in RNAcentral is "partial 23S ribosomal RNA". It matches the Rfam family "Bacterial large subunit ribosomal RNA", at positions 418 to 1869 of the family's 2925-position model. Lineage: Bacteria; Pseudomonadati; Pseudomonadota; Gammaproteobacteria; Enterobacterales; Enterobacteriaceae. The record is from RNAcentral.